Molecule: ribosomal RNA, 253 nt
Filed under: uncultured bacterium
Lineage: Bacteria
Description: partial 16S ribosomal RNA
Rfam family: Bacterial small subunit ribosomal RNA
Source: RNAcentral
UACGUAUGGUGCAAGCGUUAUCCGGAUUUACUGGGUGUAAAGGGAGCGCAGGCGGCACGGCAAGCCUGAUGUGAAAGCCCGCGGCCCAACCGCGGGACUGCAUUGGGAACUACCGGGCUGGAGUGCCGGAGAGGUAGGCGGAAUUCCUAGUGUAGCGGUGAAAUGCGUAGAUAUUAGGAGGAACACCAGUGGCGAAGGCGGCCUACUGGACGGUGACUGACGCUGAGGCUCGAAAGCGAGGGGAGCAAACAGG